Molecule: ribosomal RNA, 404 nt
Filed under: uncultured microorganism
Description: bacterial SSU rRNA
Rfam family: Bacterial small subunit ribosomal RNA
Source: RNAcentral
GAGUUUGAUCAUGGCUCAGAUUGAACGCUGGCGGCAUGCCUUACACAUGCAAGUCGAACGGUAACAGGUCUUCGGAUGCUGACGAGUGGCGAACGGGUGAGUAAUACAUCGGAACGUGCCCGAUCGUGGGGGGAUAACGAAGCGAAAGCUUUGCUAAUACCGCAUACGAUCUACGGAUGAAAGCAGGGGACCGCAAGGCCUUGCGCGAACGGAGCGGCCGAUGGCAGAUUAGGUAGUUGGUGGGAUAAAAGCUUACCAAGCCGACGAUCUGUAGCUGGUCUGAGAGGACGACCAGCCACACUGGGACUGAGGCAUGGCCCAGACUCCUACGGGAGGCAGCAGUGGGGAAUUUUGGACAAUGGGCGAAAGCCUGAUCCAGCCAUGCCGCGUGCGGGAUGAAGGCC